This 87-nucleotide transfer RNA is filed under the name cyanobacterium endosymbiont of Epithemia turgida isolate EtSB Lake Yunoko. RNAcentral describes it as "tRNA-Leu". It matches the Rfam family "tRNA". Rfam says of the family: Transfer RNA (tRNA) molecules are approximately 80 nucleotides in length. Their secondary structure includes four short double-helical elements and three loops (D, anti-codon, and T loops). Further hydrogen bonds mediate the characteristic L-shaped molecular structure. tRNAs have two regions of fundamental functional importance: the anti-codon, which is responsible for specific mRNA codon recognition, and the 3' end, to which the tRNAs corresponding amino acid is attached (by aminoacyl-tRNA synthetases). tRNAs cope with the degeneracy of the genetic code in two manners: having more than one tRNA (with a specific anti-codon) for a particular amino acid; and 'wobble' base-pairing, i.e. permitting non-standard base-pairing at the 3rd anti-codon position. The record is from RNAcentral. Lineage: Bacteria; Bacillati; Cyanobacteriota.
GCGGGGCUGGCGGAAUCGGUAGACGCGCUAGAUUCAGAUUCUAGUGUCCGCAAGGACUUUCGGGUUCAAGUCCCGAGUUCCGCAUCA